RNAcentral lists this long non-coding RNA (1767 nucleotides) under Homo sapiens (human). RNAcentral's name for it is "HSALNT0375243". The record is from RNAcentral. Lineage: Eukaryota; Metazoa; Chordata; Mammalia; Primates; Hominidae.
CCUUCCAAAGGCCCUACCUCCAGAUGCCGUCAAAUUGGUGGUUAGGAUUUCAACAAAUGAACUUGGUGGGAAAUACACAUUUGGACCACAGCAAUGUAUUACCGUCAUUCUUUUUAAUGUUAUCCAUUCUCUGUGUGUUGUAGAAUCUCAAAGUAAUCAUUUUCAUCUUAAUGAGGGUGAGAAUUUUUUUAUAUGCGAUUGGCAACUUUAAUACUCUCUUUGGCAAAGCACCUGUGAAGGUCUUUCCUGGUUUUCUAUGGGGUUGUCUGUUAUUUUCAUAUCUGUGGGAGUUCUUCGUAUCAUUGAGAUACAAUCUCUUUGUCAGUUAAAUAUCUUCUCCCACUCUAUGGCUUGGAUUUUUUGCUCAUUUAAGGCUUCUUAUAAAGGACAGAGUUCUUCAUUAAAAUGUCAUCCAAAAUUGCACUUUUUCAUUUAUGGUAGAGUUUUUUGUGUCUGCUUAAAGUGUCCUUCCCUACUCUGAGGUCAUGAAGGUAUUUUGCUGUGUUUUCUUACCAAAACAUUACUGUUUCACUUUUCACAUUUUGGUAAGCUGGUAUUGAUUUUUAUGUAUGGAGGCAAGUGGAGGUUAAAUCUUUCUUUCUCCCUCUUCUUUUCCUUCCUUCCUUCCUUCUCUUUCUUUCUCUCCUUUCUUCCCUCUUUCUCUUUUCUUUCACCUCAUAUAAAUACUUAAUUGUCCCAUCACAUGUAUUAGAAGUCCUGCCUUUCCCUGCACUCUGCGGGGCCACCUCUGUCACAACCCUGGAGGCCAUCCAUGCAGUGUGUUUCUGGAGUCUGUUCUGUUUCAGUGUUUUAUUUGUCUGCACUAUGGUCUGAACGUUUGUGUCCUCCCACAUUUCAUAUGCUGAAAUCUAAUUCCCAAUGUGAUAGAAUGAGGAGCUGGGGCCUUUGGGAGGGAGGAGUUCAUGGGGGCAGAUCCUCAGGAAUGAGAUUAGUGCCCUUGUAAAUGAGGCCCCAGAGAGCUCCCACAUCCCUUUUGCCAUGUGAGGUCACAGCAAAGAGAUGGCUUCCCUGAACCAGGAACCAGGCUUCACCAACACCAAAUCUGCUAGCACCUUGAUCUUCCACUUCCCAGUCCCCAGAACUGCGAUAAAUACAUUUCCGUGGUUAGAAGCCACCUGGUUUGUGGUGUUGUGUCAUAACAGCUAGGACAUGCUGAGACGGUCUUCCACCUCCACCACGGCAUCUCUGACCUUCAGCUCUGGGCAGUGCGACUGCCCAGCAGAGCAAGCUCCUGCCUGGAUCCUGCAAGGCUCUUCCAGGCCUUUGCAUUUUUGUAUAACUCACUUAAAAAAAUUUGGAGAACCACAGAAGUGAGAUGAUGCCCUUUUCAGAGCAACGUCAGGAACACAUGCUUCCCAGCGCCACACAGUUAAGGAGAUGUCUGACAGUCCUCUUUUCUGUACAGAGUCCAGGUUCCUGAGAGUGAAGAAUGAUGUUCAAAAACCAAGAUCUGACAUUCAGAACAAGGCUGAAAAGAGAAAGAGAGAGAAGGCAUUCUUAUCUUCUCACAGUCUUCAAGGGAAAGCUCUCAGCAUUUCAUAAUUGAGUACGUUUGUGGUAGACUUUUUUUCUGUAAAUACUUAUUGUCAUAUUAUAAAAGUUUCUUUCCAUUUUAAGUUUACUAUGAGAUUUUCUAGAAAUCAUUAAUAAAUGUUGACUUUUAAUGAAGGCAUCUAUUUAUAUCUACAUCUAUUAAGCUAAUCAUAUGAUAUUUCUCCUUUAUUCUGUUAAUGUAUGCAAUUAUAU